Molecule: long non-coding RNA, 339 nt
Organism: Cotesia glomerata
Lineage: Eukaryota; Metazoa; Arthropoda; Insecta; Hymenoptera; Braconidae
Exons: 3
Source: RefSeq, a predicted model, not a curated record
CGUCAUAGUGGGGCGUGAACGUUCUCGACGCAUCGAGCACAUUCAGUAUCUACCGAAUAAUCUCGAGUGUUCGAGAGCCCAUUCAUUUCUAUUUUUCACUCCAAUACAAAAACAUGCUGAUGGUAUUUGACUUUAUUGAUCGGGGCGUUCUCUCUCGACUAUUCGAGUUUUCUAUAUUUUUAGCUACAAGUUGACUAUGUAUCUUUGGCGUUCGGCCUUUGCAUCAUCUCAUUUUUAUUGUUUGUCUUGAGACAAAUCACCGUCAUUGAAUAUAACAAAAUAAAAAAUAAUGCUGAAGUUAGCCGUCAACUGUCAAUUUUAAAAAUUUUUUUAAUAAAC